UACGUAGGCAGCGAGCGUUGUUCGGAAUUACUGGGCGUAAAGAGUGUGUAGGCGGUGCUCUAAGUUCGGUGUGAAAUCUCCUGGCUCAACUGGGAGGGUGGUCGCGAGACGGCUGGGCUUGAGGCUCGGUGAGGGGCGUGGAAUUCCGGGUGGAGCAGUGAAAUGCGUAGAGAUCCGGAGGAACACCGACGGCGUAGGCAGCGCCCUAGACGAGACCUGACGCUCAGGCACGAAAGCGCGGGGAGCGAACAGG
This 253-nucleotide ribosomal RNA is filed under the name uncultured bacterium. Its description in RNAcentral is "partial 16S ribosomal RNA". It matches the Rfam family "Bacterial small subunit ribosomal RNA", at positions 524 to 776 of the family's 1533-position model. The record is from RNAcentral.